RNAcentral lists this transfer RNA (72 nucleotides) under Chloroflexi bacterium 13_1_40CM_4_68_4. Its description in RNAcentral is "tRNA-Trp". It matches the Rfam family "tRNA". From Rfam's summary of the family: Transfer RNA (tRNA) molecules are approximately 80 nucleotides in length. Their secondary structure includes four short double-helical elements and three loops (D, anti-codon, and T loops). Further hydrogen bonds mediate the characteristic L-shaped molecular structure. tRNAs have two regions of fundamental functional importance: the anti-codon, which is responsible for specific mRNA codon recognition, and the 3' end, to which the tRNAs corresponding amino acid is attached (by aminoacyl-tRNA synthetases). tRNAs cope with the degeneracy of the genetic code in two manners: having more than one tRNA (with a specific anti-codon) for a particular amino acid; and 'wobble' base-pairing, i.e. permitting non-standard base-pairing at the 3rd anti-codon position. The record is from RNAcentral. RNAcentral also lists the same sequence under 2 other names. Lineage: Bacteria; Bacillati; Chloroflexota.
ACGGCAGUGGCGCAACGGUAGCGCAUCGGUCUCCAAAACCGAGGGUUGAAGGUUCGAAUCCUUCCUGCCGUG